GCUUACGGCCAUACCACUCUGACAAAGCCUGAUCUCAUCUGACCUCGGAAGCAAAGCAGAGUUGGGCCUGGUUUACGUACUUGGUUGGGAGACUGAAUGGGAAUACUAGGUGCUGUAAGCU
Molecule: ribosomal RNA, 121 nt
Organism: Ictalurus punctatus (channel catfish)
Lineage: Eukaryota; Metazoa; Chordata; Actinopteri; Siluriformes; Ictaluridae
Source: Ensembl